Schistocerca cancellata (South American locust) is the source of this 873-nucleotide long non-coding RNA. RefSeq lists it as uncharacterized. The record is from RefSeq and is a predicted model, not a curated record. Lineage: Eukaryota; Metazoa; Arthropoda; Insecta; Orthoptera; Acrididae. The transcript has 3 exons.
CAAGCAAGGUCUGUCAUAAAAGGGUGUCUGCAGUAAGUACCUGUUCUUGAGUGACAAUCAGCGACCAAUGCUGAGCCUCGCGUUCAAGAGCAACAAUCACACAGUGCUGUCUCAGUGAAAGGACACUGACAAUACAAGAUAUGUGAACUGCAUUUCAACAAGGGCGAUAUUUUAAGCAGUACCAGCAUGUAUGACCCGAAAACUGGUACACUCUUGUCAGCACCGUUGGAUCGUCGACGCUUGAGAAAAGAUGCUAUCCCAUCGAAGUUGCCUGGAUGCCCAUCUUACUUGUCGACUCAUCAAACUGCAGUACGAGAGGACCCAGAAAUUCGCAGGGGGCGUUUAGAAAAUCGUGCUCUUCAAAUUGCUAUCCAAGAAAAUGAUUGAUGCGAUAUCGUUCGAUAGUUUAGAACAAAUGAAAACAAAGAUGAGUGAAUGUGAAAAGCACAGUGACUGGGUAGUGAUAAACAAAUCUGACAGUGUGUGCCUAGUGUUACUAAAGCAUAAUCCUUACCCAAGAAUUUUUUGCCACGUAGUUAUAAGCAGUGGUUUAUUACUCAGUGUCUUCAGUAAUGAUAUUGAAGUGGAAUGUAUUGGAAACAUGAAAUUUCCCAUCAAAGUAAACAACAUACAGGUGGUUCUUAAGAACAUUUAUCUUCUGUGUGAUAGUUGUGAGGCUCCUGUAGAUAACAUUUUGUCUUUAAUUGACCAGUAAUUGCAAAAUUUAUUAGAAAAGUUGCCAGGAAACGAAACUAAAAUUACAUUUUUGAAGGAACAGAUUCCAUUUUUGAAGUGCAGAAGUUCAACUCAAUUUAGGUAUGAUACUAACUCUAUGAUAAUGUGGUCGUUAGUACAUUCUAUAAGCCCACAUGC